GGAUAAGUGGCUGAGUGGCUUAAGGCAUUAGUCUUGAAAACUAACGUAGGUUUAAACUACCGUGGGUUCGAAUCCUACCUUGUCCG
RNAcentral lists this transfer RNA (86 nucleotides) under Dictyopteris divaricata. Its description in RNAcentral is "tRNA-Ser". It matches the Rfam family "tRNA". Rfam says of the family: Transfer RNA (tRNA) molecules are approximately 80 nucleotides in length. The record is from RNAcentral. Lineage: Eukaryota; Phaeophyceae; Dictyotales; Dictyotaceae.